AUAUUAUUCUUUACCCCCUUUCUCAUUUUAAUCCCAAACUUAAAGAGUGGGCUGCUUAAUAAAUUGGUAGAAAUAAAUUUCUCAACUUUGAAAAUAAAUUGGACUUCUCAUGUCCUCUUCCUAUCACAAUCCGAAGGCAAUAAAGAGCAUAGCAGAAUGGGUACUUGCAAACAUAUUAGUUUGAAGACACCAUUUAGACAUGGGCUUCUUAAAUUCUCCAACAUGUUUUAACUCUCCUACCUGCUUCCAUUAAUAUCCCUGCCAUACUCAACAUAUAAAGAUUAAUUGGCAAAAGUGCAUGAUAGGUAAGGUCACUUGCUUUGUCAUCGGUCUCAGACGUUCAUUUUUUUUUCUUUUACUUGCAAUAUCAAAUGCCUUCACUUGGCCUGCAUUUUCAUGCUCCUGGAACGGUUAAUAUGGUACUUUAUGUGAUCUAAUUGCUCACGGGUAUUUAGAUGUGUAUGCUAUUAAAAUAUGUUUUAUGUGAUAUUAAUUUUUGAGGCUUGAGAUGUCUAAAGAAAUUAUUACCGAAUUGUCAUAUUCUAUGUGCAAAAUUUUUAAAUAAUUUGCCCGCACAUUAAAUAACAAAUCUUAAUGCGACGCACUGGAAUGUGAUUGAGUUUCAUAGUUAUUGACAUUAAUUAAACUGAAUAUGUUUUAAUAUGACAUGCCUGAGAGUCAAUUGAUGUGAAUAUUCGCAUCUAUUAUUUUCUUGGAUUUCCUUGUUGCCUUGAAACUAUUUUCAGGAUAUGGAGCAUGGUUCAACAGGAUAUAGUUUUCUUAUUUAUAAAAGACGAGCCCAUAAGUCCUCGUACCUUGGGGCUAGCUCAUGACUUUGUCAUCUUGGACGGUGAGCCUUAGCUCGUGUUUUCCUCACUAUUGAAGUGGAAUGGGCUGACCAACUCAAAAUUGAGCCCUGAUGGAGCCUCCAUAUAGAUAUAGAAUUGGAAAAAAAAUGAGUCCAUACGGCUACAGCUAGAAAAAGAAUCCAAUUCAAAAUAGAAUCAAUAUGAUAAGAAGGAAAAUGCAUAAUGCGAAAACAAGAUGGAACGUGGGGGAGGAUCCGAACAAUUUCUUUUUUCUUUCAUUUUGGGAGAGCACUUUUUUUAGCCUUAGUCAUGGUUUUCUUAUUAUUGAAGGCGAGCCUUAACUCGUGUUUUUCUCAUUAUUGAAGUCGAGCCCUAGC
This 1186-nucleotide long non-coding RNA is filed under the name Olea europaea (common olive). Its description in RNAcentral is "long non-coding RNA (OEUR_LNC004805)". The record is from RNAcentral. Lineage: Eukaryota; Viridiplantae; Streptophyta; Magnoliopsida; Lamiales; Oleaceae.